Molecule: transfer RNA, 69 nt
Filed under: Acroneuria carolinensis
Lineage: Eukaryota; Metazoa; Arthropoda; Insecta; Plecoptera; Perlidae
Description: tRNA-Ser
Rfam family: tRNA
About the family: Transfer RNA (tRNA) molecules are approximately 80 nucleotides in length. Their secondary structure includes four short double-helical elements and three loops (D, anti-codon, and T loops).
Source: RNAcentral
AGUUAAUUAGCUUAUUGAAAGCGUAUGUUUUGAAAGCAUAAGACAGAAGUUUAAUUCUUCUAUUAACUU